GCUGAUGUAGCUCAGCAGGUAGAGCAACUGACUUGUAAUCAGUAGGUCGGGGGUUCGAUUCCGUCCAUCAGCU
RNAcentral lists this transfer RNA (73 nucleotides) under Oscillospiraceae bacterium. Its description in RNAcentral is "tRNA-Thr". It matches the Rfam family "tRNA". Rfam says of the family: Transfer RNA (tRNA) molecules are approximately 80 nucleotides in length. Their secondary structure includes four short double-helical elements and three loops (D, anti-codon, and T loops). The record is from RNAcentral. Lineage: Bacteria; Bacillati; Bacillota; Clostridia; Eubacteriales; Oscillospiraceae.